Ictalurus punctatus (channel catfish) is the source of this 921-nucleotide long non-coding RNA. RefSeq lists it as uncharacterized. The transcript has 3 exons. The record is from RefSeq and is a predicted model, not a curated record. NCBI's taxonomy places the organism in Eukaryota, Metazoa, Chordata, Actinopteri, Siluriformes, Ictaluridae.
GAACAGGCCGGAAGAUGGACGCCGGGAUUAAUUUAAUUAACGAGUCUUUAAUUGCCAAACACAAACACACAGAGUGCUGAACAGAAAUGAAAACAAGCCGCGACCUUUUUCAGCCCGUAGUUUUAUACAGAAGCGGAGGAGACAGACACCUGACUGCCUACUGCCUAGAACUUCUCAAACCUGCCUCAGCAGCUAGUCAACCUUCCUAUAACCAUUACACACCUACAGCCAAGCAGCUUAACCAGCUCAGCUCACUCACCUGUGCUGCACUUUCCCCGGGAGUUUAAACCCGAUUUCAGUGCAAACACUGAGGCCCAUAAACAGGACAAACUCCGACACACCGGGACUAUUAAAUCAACUAAUAUUCACUUAACUUCCUGUAUCAUUAACUCCUAUAAAGUUGGCUAGUUAUGUUGCUAACCCAAGUUAAGGUAACUCAAUUGGCAUAUUAUUAUGAUUAUUACCACAAGAGUCCUGUUUUGCACUUAACAGAAAUCCGUUCCUUUGUCUAAAGAGAUUUCAACGUAUUAUGCAAUAUUUAAAUCCUCCCAGAGCGAACAUGUAUGAUAGCUAAGCUAAGCUAAGCUACCUUAAGCAGCAGGGGGCUUCAACCUCAUGGCCGACCGGCACAGCUAGAAAAACUACAGCUAUCAGAGACAAGCACCCCCUUUACCAGGUGAAUAAUCCUCAUCUCGGUUAAAUUCUCCCAGCAAAACGGUGACAAUGUUAUCGAAACGCGUAUUUGAUCGAAAUCUGCUGGACUCGCGUUAGCCUCGAACUGCUUGAGUGGAACCGACACAGCGCCGUCCCCGCGACUGAAGCGCGUUUUCCGCGUCGCCUGCAAACUCAACGCCGAGGCUCAGUUCAGGCCCGAAGGCCGCAAAUCACGAAAAUAAACAACAAGCGCUGUACUGACCAGAA